CCAAUCAUCCUAGCCUGUUAUCUGUGAUAAAGCACACUGAAGUUAGGUUUGGAAUGCAUCCUUAUCAUGAAUGCUCUACACCUCCACCUCCAUCUCCCACAACCUAGGUAACAGCUUUGAGACUCACUAAAAGUUGAAUCCCCUGAAUGAUGUAGGCUAUGGGGCCACAUAAGACUUUGUCCAUCCAGGGUUACGAUGAAUGUCAAAUAUAAACUAAAGAACCAACAUUUUUCACACAACUCCAGGUUGUUACUACAAGUGUCAUCAAGGGAUAACUACUACAAGUAGAAGCACCAUUUUUGGAUGGAAAAAACCCUUCAGGAAAGUAUACGUAUCACAUGUAACAUGUAGUGUAACAAAGUAUGAACAGUAAGGUUUUUACAUACAGUAGUACAUAUUACAUACGUACAUAACUUUUUUUUUA
Molecule: long non-coding RNA, 424 nt
Organism: Macrobrachium nipponense
Lineage: Eukaryota; Metazoa; Arthropoda; Malacostraca; Decapoda; Palaemonidae
Exons: 3
Source: RefSeq, a predicted model, not a curated record